RNAcentral lists this RNase P RNA (332 nucleotides) under Tissierellia bacterium. RNAcentral's name for it is "RNase P RNA component class A". It matches the Rfam family "Bacterial RNase P class A". Rfam says of the family: Ribonuclease P (RNase P) is a ubiquitous endoribonuclease, found in archaea, bacteria and eukarya as well as chloroplasts and mitochondria. Its best characterised activity is the generation of mature 5'-ends of tRNAs by cleaving the 5'-leader elements of precursor-tRNAs. Lineage: Bacteria; Bacillati; Bacillota; Tissierellia. The record is from RNAcentral.
UGAGUAAGUCAGGUAAUCGCGUGAAUUUCACGAGGAAAGUCCGUGCACCAUACAGCGAGGAUGCCAGAUAACGUCUGGUGAAGGCGACUUUAAGGCUAGUGCAACAGAGAGAUACCGCCUCUUAGGAGGUAAGGGUGGAAAGGUGAGGUAAGAGCUCACCAGCAAAUAGGCGACUAUUUGGCUAUGUAAACCCCAUCCGGUGCAAGAUCAAAUAGGAAAUAACCCGGCAGCUGGUCGGGUCCGGUAGGUAGAUUGCUAGAGCUUAUAGGUGACUAUAAGCGUAGACAGAUGAUUACCCAAUACAGAACACGGCUUAUAGACUUGCUCAUUAU